RNAcentral lists this ribosomal RNA (465 nucleotides) under uncultured beta proteobacterium. RNAcentral describes it as "partial 16S ribosomal RNA". Lineage: Bacteria; Pseudomonadati; Pseudomonadota; Betaproteobacteria. The record is from RNAcentral.
GACUACUGGGGUAUCUAAUCCUGUUUGCUCCCCACGCUUUCGUGCAUGAGCGUCAGUGUUGACCCAGGGGGCUGCCUUCGCCAUCGAUGUUCUUCCAUAUCUCUACGCAUUUCACUGCUACACAUGGAAUUCCACCCCCCUCUGCCACACUCUAGCUCUGUAGUUUCAAACGCAGUUCCCAGGUUAAGCCCGGGGAUUUCACAUCUGACUUACAGAACCGCCUGCGCACCCUUUACGCCCAGUAAUUCCGAUUAACGCUCGCACCCUACGUAUUACCGCGGCUGCUGGCACGUAGUUAGCCGGUGCUUCUUCUGUUGAUACCGUCAUGAAUUGCAAUUAUUAGUCACAAUCUUUUCUUCUCAACUGAAAGAGCUUUACAACCCGAAGGCCUUCUUCACUCACGCGGCAUUGCUGGAUCAGGCUUGCGCCCAUUGUCCAAAAUUCCCCACUGCAGCCGCCCGUAGG